Molecule: ribosomal RNA, 368 nt
Filed under: uncultured crenarchaeote
Lineage: Archaea; Thermoproteati; Thermoproteota
Description: bacterial SSU rRNA
Rfam family: Archaeal small subunit ribosomal RNA
Source: RNAcentral
AGCGUCCGUAGCCGGCUUAGUAAGUCUUUCGUUAAAUCUGACGACUUAAUCGUCAGGCCGCGGAAGAUACUGCUAGGCUAGAGGGCGGGAGAGGUUGACGGUAGUCCCGGAGUAGGGGUGAAAUCCUAUAAUCCCGGGAGGACCACCAGUGGCGAAGGCGGUCAACUAGAACGCGCCUGACGGUGAUGGACGAAAGCUGGGGGAGCGAACCGGAUUAGACACCCGGGUAGUCCCAGCUGUAAACGAUGCGGGCUAGGUGUCGGGGCAGCUACGUGCUGCUCCAGUGCCGCAGAGAAGUUGUUAAGCCCGCCGCUUGGGAAGUACGGCCGCAAGGCUGAAACUUAAAGGAAUUGGCGGGGGAGCACAAG